GCGGACGUGGCGAAACUGGUAGACGCACGAGACUUAAAAUCUUGCGGCCUUUGGCUGUGCGGGUUCGAGUCCCGCCGUCCGCACCA
This 86-nucleotide transfer RNA is filed under the name Methylobacterium goesingense. RNAcentral describes it as "tRNA-Leu". It matches the Rfam family "tRNA". From Rfam's summary of the family: Transfer RNA (tRNA) molecules are approximately 80 nucleotides in length. The record is from RNAcentral. Lineage: Bacteria; Pseudomonadati; Pseudomonadota; Alphaproteobacteria; Hyphomicrobiales; Methylobacteriaceae.